RNAcentral lists this long non-coding RNA (1086 nucleotides) under Gorilla gorilla gorilla (western lowland gorilla). Its description in RNAcentral is "lncRNA (ENSGGOG00000044438.1)". The record is from RNAcentral. Lineage: Eukaryota; Metazoa; Chordata; Mammalia; Primates; Hominidae.
CCCGACCUGGCUGGCACGCAGCCCUUGGGGAACAGGGCACCUCUACAGCUGCUGUGGCGGCAGCUGUCCCAGGGGCAAAAGGCUUUCGUGCAGCAGUCCCAGAACGAGCUGCAGCAGAUCCGCCUGUGCUUUGAGAGGAAGAAGAUGGUCAUCACAGAGGCGUGGGACAACGUGGCUGAGAUGCACACGGCCCUGAACAACCAGGCCACCGGGCUCCUGGUAGGUCCCCACAGGGCAGCACCCAGAAGGAUGGGGCCUGGCGGGCGAGAGGCCGGGGAGGGCAGGGCCAGGGGCCUCAUGUGCUUACCUCCUCUGGCCCCCAGAACCUCAAGAAGGACAUCUGGGGCGUGCUGGACCAGAUGGAGAACAUCCAGCUGGGGAUUCUCAGGUGCAGGUGCCAAUCCACCCCGUGGGCCAUGGCAUCCAUGAGAGAGAGAAGCAGAAAGUUGGUCAGCACGGCACCAGCUUCAGGGCCCUAGAGCUCACACCCUUCCCGCAUUGAGAUAGCCCCAGCCCAGGAUGUCUCAGCCCCGAACAGCUGUGCACCCCUCACACUCCCUCAGCGCUGCCCCUGGCAUUUGGCAGGCAGGAGAGUUCUAGCAGGUUCAGCAGCCCCUACAGGGCCCUGAGCCAGCAGGUGGCCCCUAUGCACCCCCAUUUCAUCUCCCCAAGCUCUCGGGUUCCUGGGAUUCCCUGUGGGUAGCGGCAGACCCAAGUCUUUCCCCCAAACACCCUGUCACUGCCAGAACUGAUGCAGACCCAAGGCGAGAGACCCUCACACUUCCCAGCCACAGACCAUCGGCCACCCCCUCCUUCCAAGCCUCUGACUCAGCCCAAGUCCACAGAAAUGCCCCCAAGGAACCCACCGACCCCUGCACACCAGACAGCAGCCACCCCCUCUUCUGAGGCCUGGCCCCUGCCCUCCCCUAACUCUGGGGGUCCUGCAGCAACAGUCCUGGCCUUGCCCGAGGAAAGAAUCAAAAUAACUUUUUUAAAAUAAAAUUAUAGAUAUAUAGAUGUAGAUAUAAAAACAUAAAACAGAAACAACGCAAGCGGACGCUGUUGUGUGCUUACUCUCAGGUCCCU